RNAcentral lists this ribosomal RNA (429 nucleotides) under Chloroflexota bacterium. Its description in RNAcentral is "Chloroflexi bacterium partial 16S ribosomal RNA". It matches the Rfam family "Bacterial small subunit ribosomal RNA", at positions 355 to 776 of the family's 1533-position model. The record is from RNAcentral. Lineage: Bacteria; Bacillati; Chloroflexota.
UGGGGAAUAUUGCACAAUGGGCGCAAGCCUGAUGCAGCCAUGCCGCGUGUAUGAAGAAGGCCUUCGGGUUGUAAAGUACUUUCAGUCGGGAGGAAGGUGUCAAGGUUAAUAACCUUGGCAAUUGACGUUACCCGCAGAAGAAGCACCGGCUAACUCCGUGCCAGCAGCCGCGGUAAUACGGAGGGUGCAAGCGUUAAUCGGAAUUACUGGGCGUAAAGCGCACGCAGGCGGUUUGUUAAGUCAGAUGUGAACUCCCCGGGCUCAACCUGGGAACUGCAGCUGAUACUGGCAAGCUUGAGUCUCGUAGAGGGGGGUAGAAUUCCAGGUGUAGCGGUGAAAUGCGUAGAGCUCUGGAGGAAUACCGGUGGCGGAGGCGGCCCCCUGGACGAAGACUGACGCUCAGGUGCGAAAGCGUGGGGAGCAAACAGG